UCGGACGUGGUGUACGGCACACCCUCGCCUGUCAUGCAGUGUCGUGUCAUUGCAGCGAGCGUUCGGGGUUCGACUCCCCGCGUCUGAA
Mycena albidolilacea is the source of this 88-nucleotide non-coding RNA. NCBI's taxonomy places the organism in Eukaryota, Fungi, Basidiomycota, Agaricomycetes, Agaricales, Mycenaceae. The record is from the annotation of a GenBank genome assembly.